Daucus carota subsp. sativus is the source of this 697-nucleotide long non-coding RNA. RefSeq lists it as uncharacterized. The record is from RefSeq and is a predicted model, not a curated record. Lineage: Eukaryota; Viridiplantae; Streptophyta; Magnoliopsida; Apiales; Apiaceae. The transcript has 2 exons.
UUUAUAUUAUUUGUAAGUUCAUAUUGAACAACAUUAACAAUCUAACCAUACAAUAAUAUUACUUUUAGAAAGGAAAUUCACUAUCUUCUUUGUCUCAAUCUUUAAAGUAGUAGCUCUAGUGCCAUACGCUGCUGCAGCUAAUGCUGAGAAACAUUUUCAAUCAUUAAUCAAGCACGACGAAUCAUCAACUCUUCUAACUUUACCAAAGCUCACUGGUUGUCGGAAUUCUAUAGGGUACAAAAGUGUGUUCCAUUUUAGAUGUUUUCCCAGCCUCGCAUCAAGAUUUGAUGGGUUUCUGUUACCAUAUAUCCGUUAAUUCUUCACACAGUUCGGCAGCUUGGAUGAUUUCUCUUGGCUGUCCGUAUGAUCUUCUCAAUACCGUUACCAAUACAUUCCUCCAAAUAAGAUUGUCGCGUUUCAGAAAGCUUUUAGUCUUAUCGACAAGGUGCGAUCUUUCCAAUACAUUAUACUUCAUGAUUAUGGUUAUGUGAUUAUUUAUGGAUUCACAGUAUAUAUUAUUAUGGUGUGGUUCAUAAUUUUCAUGAUUAAGUAUAAUGGUGUGGUGUGCUUGUAUCUAUUAGUGUAUGUGUUGUUUUGUAUCAUAUUUUGUCAUUUCUUGAUCAAUUUUGCCUGAUUCGGAGGAGAUUGGGUAUUUGUAAUCAUUUUUAUAUCAUAUGAUUAGUUACAUUUUUGAGUU